GAUGAACGCUGGCGGCGUGCUUAACACAUGCAAGUCGAACGAAGCACUUUAUUUGAUUUCCUUCGGGACUGAUUAUUUUGUGACUGAGUGGCGGACGGGUGAGUAACGCGUGGGUAACCUGCCUUGUACAGGGGGAUAACAGUUGGAAACGGCUGCUAAUACCGCAUAAGCGCACAGCAUCGCAUGAUGCAGUGUGAAAAACUCCGGUGGUAUAAGAUGGACCCGCGUUGGAUUAGCUAGUUGGUGAGGUAACGGCCCACCAAGGCGACGAUCCAUAGCCGACCUGAGAGGGUGACCGGCCACAUUGGGACUGAGACACGGCCCAAACUCCUACGGGAGGCAGCAGUGGGGAAUAUUGCACAAUGGGCGAAAGCCUGAUGCAGCGACGCCGCGUGAGCGAAGAAGUAUUUCGGUAUGUAAAGCUCUAUCAGCAGGGAAGAUAAUGACGGUACCUGACUAAGAGGCACCGGCUAAAUACGUG
This 481-nucleotide ribosomal RNA is filed under the name uncultured bacterium. RNAcentral describes it as "partial 16S ribosomal RNA". It matches the Rfam family "Bacterial small subunit ribosomal RNA", at positions 28 to 507 of the family's 1533-position model. The record is from RNAcentral.